GGGUGCGGUCAUACCAACAUUAAUGCACCGGAUCCCAUCAGAAUUCUGCAGUUAAGCGCGCUUGGGCCAGAGUAUUACUGGGAUGGGUGACCUCCCGGGAAGUCCUGGUGUUACACUCU
Molecule: non-coding RNA, 119 nt
Organism: Picea glauca (white spruce)
Lineage: Eukaryota; Viridiplantae; Streptophyta; Pinopsida; Pinales; Pinaceae
Source: Rfam